AUUGAACGCUGGCGGCAGGCCUAACACAUGCAAGUCGAACGGUAACAGGGAUCAGCUUGCUGAUUCGCUGACGAGUGGCGGACGGGUGAGUAAUGUCUGGGAAACUGCCUGAUGGAGGGGGAUAACUACUGGAAACGGUAGCUAAUACCGCAUAACGUCACAAGACCAAAGAGGGGGACCUUCGGGCCUCUUGCCAUCGGAUGUGCCCAGAUGGGAUUAGCUAGUAGGUGGGGUAACGGCUCGCCUAGGCGACGAUCCCUAGCUGGUCUGAGAGGAUGACCAGCCACACUGGAACUGAGACACGGUCCAGACUCCUACGGGAGGCAGCAGUGGGGAAUAUUGCACAAUGGGCGCAAGCCUGAUGCAGCCAUGCCGCGUGUAUGAAGAAGGCCUUCGGGUUGUAAAGUACUUUCAGCGGGGAGGAAGGGAGUAAAGUUAAUACCUUUGCUCAUUGACGUUACCCGCAGAAGAAGCACCGGCUAACUCCGUG
This 490-nucleotide ribosomal RNA is filed under the name uncultured bacterium. RNAcentral's name for it is "partial 16S ribosomal RNA". It matches the Rfam family "Bacterial small subunit ribosomal RNA", at positions 30 to 507 of the family's 1533-position model. The record is from RNAcentral.